UACGUAGGGUGCAAGCGUUAAUCGGAAUUACUGGGCGUAAAGCGUGCGCAGGCGGCUUUGCAAGACAGAUGUGAAAUCCCCGGGCUUAACCUGGGAACUGCAUUUGUGACUGCAUGGCUGGAGUGCGGCAGAGGGGGAUGGAAUUCCGCGUGUAGCAGUGAAAUGCGUAGAUAUGCGGAGGAACACCGAUGGCGAAGGCAACCGCCUGGGCCUGUACUGACGCUGAGACACGAAAGCGUGGGGAGCAAACAGG
RNAcentral lists this ribosomal RNA (253 nucleotides) under uncultured bacterium. Its description in RNAcentral is "partial 16S ribosomal RNA". It matches the Rfam family "Bacterial small subunit ribosomal RNA", at positions 524 to 776 of the family's 1533-position model. The record is from RNAcentral.